AGAAAAUCAGGAUUCGAACCUGCACUUAACAACCCAAAAUUAUUUGUACUUCAUUGUACUAUUUUCUA
RNAcentral lists this transfer RNA (68 nucleotides) under Anolis rubiginosus (Sierra Juarez anole). RNAcentral's name for it is "tRNA-Gln". The record is from RNAcentral. Lineage: Eukaryota; Metazoa; Chordata; Lepidosauria; Squamata; Anolidae.